RNAcentral lists this transfer RNA (39 nucleotides) under Scoparia ericacea. Its description in RNAcentral is "partial tRNA-Phe". The record is from RNAcentral. Lineage: Eukaryota; Viridiplantae; Streptophyta; Magnoliopsida; Lamiales; Plantaginaceae.
UGGGAUGCUACAUUGUUAAUGGUCGGGAUAGCUCAGCUG